RNAcentral lists this ribosomal RNA (483 nucleotides) under uncultured bacterium. RNAcentral's name for it is "partial 16S ribosomal RNA". It matches the Rfam family "Bacterial small subunit ribosomal RNA", at positions 28 to 507 of the family's 1533-position model. The record is from RNAcentral.
GACGAACGCUGGCGGCGUGCUUAACACAUGCAAGUCGAACGCUGAAGCUCAGCUUUUGUUGGGUGGAUGAGUGGCGAACGGGUGAGUAACACGUGAGUAACCUGCCUCCUUCUUUGGGAUAACGUCCGGAAACGGGUGCUAAUACUGGAUAUUCACUGGUCUUCGCAUGGGGGUUGGUGGAAAGGGUUUUUCUGGUGGGGGAUGGGCCCGCGGCCUAUCAGCUUGUUGGUGGGGUUAUGGCCUACCAAGGCUUUGACGGGUAGCCGGCCUGAGAGGGUGACCGGUCACAUUGGAAGUGCGGUACGACCCGGACUCAUACGCGAGGCAGCAGUGGGGAGUAUGGCGCAAUGGGGGCAAGUCUGAUGCGGGGGCGAGGCGUGUGGGAUGGAGGCGUGCGGGUUGUGAACCUCUUUCGGUCGUAGUGAAGCCGCAACAAUGGUUGUAGUGAGGGUAGUGGGUAAAGAAGCGCCGGCUAACUACGUG